GCGACUUAUGCUUAAAAGUGCAUCCCUGCGUUGCCAUGCAUUUCACACGCACCCCUGCGUGAACACCGCCAAAAAGCUUCCCUGGUUUUUCGAACUUCCAGGGUUCUCUUGCUUCGUAUAAAUGCGCUGAGCGCAGUUGAAUCUUCCUUCUUAUUAUUAUCAACAUCCCACCUGAAGACAUCGUGAGCUACAGUUUGGAAUUACAUCGUGGGAUUCAUCCAAUUUUCGCUAUUCAACCUAAGUAUCAUUUGUAUGGCUAAACCAUACGCAAUUGUAUUGUAAUUUCAUUGGUUUAAAUAAUACUUACUUUUGCAUUGUAUAAAAUAAUACCAAUUUUCCUUUAAACGUUACCACAAAGUUACAUUGUAGACAAUCCUAUCAAAUGAUCUUCAACACUUUGCAUUGUAUAAAGCACAUAUCAUUCAUUCGAUUUUUUCAUUGUACCUUUUAUUAAUACAAUUAAUUAGUUAAAACAAACCACACCACUACAUAGUAGUGCUAGAUUUAAGGCAACGUGAAUUUCCAUUAGUAGUUUAUAAAUUAGCUAUACUCGUUAAAUAAAUCCAACGUUGAAUUUUUCUACAUUGCAAACCAAAUCUUCAUCAUUUCCAUCCAUCAGCAGUGCUUAUACAUGCGCUUCAACAUGGUCCUUGCGAACCGAAUUUGACAGCAAAGGAACGCAGCUAAUAAUAAGCAUACCCGUAGUUGGCAACGCGGACAUCGAAAGAGGAGUUUCGAACAACAAAAACUCCUACUGGCAAUGCUGUGGGCGACAGCCAUAUUAUUUUUCACACACAAUUUUGGAAUGGCAGCAGCAGCAGCAACAUCGUAAAUUUUGUGCCGCGAUACAAUUUCAACCAUCGUCAUAAAAGUUUAACGCGUUUUAAAAGUGCCAAUUCUCAGUGCGUCGAGUUCAAAAAAAACCAAAAAACCAAAAGUGACUACAAAUUGCUGCCCACCGUGGGAUAUUUGCAGACAGGUGCAUCCACCAACAACAGCGCAUAUUAAGGGACGCUCAAGGAGCCCCGAUUUUGAAGCGGCGUGGGACAGCAAUCCCUAGUGAAGACUCCCGACUUCCUCAGCGAGGCGACAGCCCAGCGUGGGAUAUCCUAACCACAACCAUAAGGAUGAGUAAAAUUAUGGAACGCAUACACGCCGUGAACCGUUUUGUGGAUCGGUACUCGCUGUUGGCUUAAUCGCUAUCACGAACCAUAGUUUGCACCCUUAACAUAUGUAUGUACAUACAUAUGUACAUGUGUAUAUGCCCAUUUGCUAGUUUUGUAUUAGCUGCUAGCGCAAGCGGUUUGCGACCGCUGCUUAUACCUACUUACCCACAUUCGUACUUAUAUGCAUAUACAUAUAUCUAUAUUCGUACAUAUAUAUGUACAAUCGCUCUCCUUGCUGAACAUUGUUCCAGACUCUUCCAUAUACAUAUAUGUGCAUGCCUGUGUACUUGGGUGGUUGCCUAUUUGCCUCGCCAACUUUGAAAAUCUUUUCGUUUAGCGAAAUUUUUGAUCAUACCACCGCCAUAUGUCUAUUCGGUUACGCUAGCGGUGUGAUUUCGCUUCUACAUACGCAUGCUUGUAUGAACGUUUCAACCCUCUUUGAGUUGGACCAUUAGCCGUUUGCGCCGGCGUUAGAAUUUUGCCGGGCUUAUUUUACCAUUUGCAUUUCUUUGCUUCUUCGGUUUCUUGCUGGCUGCGCUGCCAGUUGCUUUAAAAUUCUAUAAGAAUCGAAGACUGCAAAAGGGACACACUCAAAGUAGGAAACGAAGAGGGGAAUUAACGAGCACUGUACAAGCAUUUGCAGAGAUUUCUUCCUAAAACAUACAUACAGACAUGCGCGCUGAUGUACAUACAUAGUGACGUAGGUACAAAAACCGUACACUAGAUUCACAUUCUUGUUCGUAAUUUUUUACCACUUGAGCUGGCAUACAAGGCAAUCCACAUUUUCAAAACGUUCAUUCCUCAUUUACAUAUGUACUUCUUGCAUGCCCUUUUAUUUAUAUGAGUUAAUCUACAAAAUUACAUACAAUAUCCAUUGUCACUAUUAGUUGCUCUCUUGGCAUAUACAUAUGUACAGGUGUAUAUGCGAAAUUUAUAGUGGUCGUAAUAAUUGCAUGCGCCAGCGCUUUUAGACCCAGGCUAAUACAUGCCUAUAUAUACACAUUCAUCCGUAUGUAUAGACCUACAUACGUACAUAUGUGUAUUGUGUUCAUGGUCUAAGGCAAACAUUUUAAGUGAACAUUUUUCAAGUACCCUUCUAUAUACAUAUGUACAUAUGCAUGAAUGUGUGGAAUUUUGAUGGUUGUAUUACUGAUCUCCACCGGCUUUGAAAUUCGUGCUCUAUUUUAACAAAAUCCCGUAUUACUUGCGCCGGAAUACAAGGAAACUAGAAUUAUCAAGACACUAAUUCCUCAUUUAUGGAUAUCUCCGAGUUCAUCUAUAAAAUUACCUACAGGAUCCAUUGGAAUUAGUGAGAAACAAUACCGAAAUACGUUUUGUGAAUUCAAAAAAAGAAUUUUACGUUGAGAUCAUACAUAUACAUACACACGUGCUGAAUCGUAUAACUAAAUACAUACAUAUGUACAUAGGUAUAGUAGCAAUGUUUUAACCAAACCCAGUGGUAAAUUUAUGCGAUCCGGUUGCGUAAAACUGUAGUGCCUUGCCGGCACAUACAUACAUAUACGAGCUCCGGGGUUCACUUUAUUUUCAAUAUUUGCAUAUCAAUUGUGUGGGCAUCCACCCAUUGCUGCUUGC
Rhagoletis zephyria (snowberry fruit fly) is the source of this 2759-nucleotide long non-coding RNA. RefSeq lists it as uncharacterized. The record is from RefSeq and is a predicted model, not a curated record. Lineage: Eukaryota; Metazoa; Arthropoda; Insecta; Diptera; Tephritidae.